AGUCUAGCAUGUGCGCGAGUCAUUGGGACUCAAUAAACCUAAAGGCGCAAUGAAAGUGAAAGUCUGUUUACGCGGACUUAGGGAGGAUAGGUGCGUACACAUCUGUGUACAACCUCGCACUCCCGGGGCGUCUCGCACUCAUUGCGAGGUGGGGCGCACCAAGAGCGUACACGCUGGGACCCGAAAGAUGGUGAACUAUGCCUGGUCAGGACGAAGUCAGGGGAAACCCUGAUGGAGGUCCGUAGCGAUUCUGACGUGCAAAUCGAUCGUCGGAACUGGGCUUAGGGGCGAAAGACUAAUCGAACCAUCUAGUAGCUGGUUCCCACCGAAGUUUCCCUCAGGAUAGCUGGCACUAGAUUAUGGAUGAGUCUCAUCCGGUAAAGCGAAUGAUUAGAGGCAUUGGGGUCGAAACGGCCUCAACCUAUUCUCAAACUUUAAAUGGGUGAGAUCUCCGGCUUGCUCGAUUUAUGAAGCCGGAGAUCGGAUCAAUUAGUGCCAAGUGGGCCACUUUUGGUAAGCAGAACUGGCGCUGUGGGAUGAACCAAACGCAGAGUUAAAGCGCCAAAAUCGACGCUUAUGGGAUACCAUGAAAGGCGUUGGUAACUUAAGACAGCAGGACGGUGGCCAUGGAAGUCGGAA
This 639-nucleotide ribosomal RNA is filed under the name Carabus amplipennis amplipennis. Its description in RNAcentral is "eukaryotic LSU rRNA". It matches the Rfam family "Eukaryotic large subunit ribosomal RNA", at positions 672 to 1266 of the family's 3401-position model. Lineage: Eukaryota; Metazoa; Arthropoda; Insecta; Coleoptera; Carabidae. The record is from RNAcentral.